This 460-nucleotide ribosomal RNA is filed under the name uncultured bacterium. RNAcentral's name for it is "partial 16S ribosomal RNA". It matches the Rfam family "Bacterial small subunit ribosomal RNA", at positions 338 to 795 of the family's 1533-position model. The record is from RNAcentral.
CCUACGCGCGGCAGCAGUGAGUAAUCUUGGUCAAUGGACGAGAGUCUGAACCAGCCAAGUAGCGUGAAGGAUGACAGCCCUAUGGGUUGUAAACUUCUUUUAUAUGGGAAUAAAAUGUUCCACGUGUGGGAUUUUGUAUGUACCAUAUGAAUAAGGAUCGGCUAACUCCGUGCCAGCAGCUGCGGUAAUACGGAGGAUCCGAGCGUUGACCGGAUUUAUUGGGUUUAAAGGGAGCGUAGGUGGAUUGUUAAGUCAGUUGUGAAAGUUUGCGGCUCAACCGUAAAAUUGCAGUUGAAACUGGCAGUAUUGAGUACAGUAGAGGUGGGCGGAAUUCGUGGUGUAGCUGGGAAAUGCUUAGAUAUCACGAAGAACUCCGAUGGCGAAGGCAGUUCACUGGACUGCAACUGACACUGAGGCUCGAAAGUGUGGGUAUCAAACAGGAUUAGAUACCCUAGUAGUC